UUUUGUAGAGGUGCCAAAAUUAAGAGUAAGUAUUAGGAGUCGCAAGCUUUGAUUAAUACUAAAAGGAAAAUUGGCCGAAGAUUGAUAGUGCAAAAUAUCAUUCUGGACAUAUGCAUAACAUGUAUAUGGCUGUCACAUUAAUUGCAAAAUAAUUGUAAUAAUAAAGUGGAGUGCUACUAAG
Molecule: non-coding RNA, 181 nt
Filed under: uncultured Clostridium sp.
Lineage: Bacteria; Bacillati; Bacillota; Clostridia; Eubacteriales; Clostridiaceae
Description: Lysine riboswitch
Rfam family: Lysine riboswitch aptamer
About the family: Riboswitches are metabolite binding domains within certain messenger RNAs that serve as precision sensors for their corresponding targets.
Source: RNAcentral